This 467-nucleotide ribosomal RNA is filed under the name uncultured bacterium. RNAcentral's name for it is "partial 16S ribosomal RNA". It matches the Rfam family "Bacterial small subunit ribosomal RNA", at positions 28 to 506 of the family's 1533-position model. The record is from RNAcentral.
GACGAACGCUGGCGGCGUGCUUAACACAUGCAAGUCGAACGGAAAGGCCCUGCUUUUGUGGGGUGCUCGAGUGGCGAACGGGUGAGUAACACGUGAGUAACCUGCCCUUGACUUUGGGAUAACUUCAGGAAACUGGGGCUAAUACCGGAUAGGAGCUCCUGCUGCAUGGUGGGGGUUGGAAAGUUUCGGCGGUUGGGGAUGGACUCGCGGCUUAUCAGCUUGUUGGUGGGGUAGUGGCUUACCAAGGCUUUGACGGGUAGCCGGCCUGAGAGGGUGACCGGCCCCAUUGGGACGGGGUAACGGCCCGGACCCCUACGGGGGGCAGCAGGGGGGAAUAUUGCACAAGGGGCGGAAGCCUGAUGCAGCAACCCCGGGUGGGGGAUGACGGCCUUCGGGUUGUAAACCGCUUUCGCCUGUGACGAAGGGUGGGUGACGGUAAUGGGUAAAGAAGCACCGGCUAACUACGU